RNAcentral lists this ribosomal RNA (537 nucleotides) under Triticum aestivum (bread wheat). RNAcentral's name for it is "partial small subunit ribosomal RNA". The record is from RNAcentral. Lineage: Eukaryota; Viridiplantae; Streptophyta; Magnoliopsida; Poales; Poaceae.
AUGUUCUUCAUCGCCGUGCUCCGCAGGGCCUUCAUUGAUCGGGAGUACACCGAUGGGCACUUUAAUCUCCACCUCAACAACUCCAAGACAAAGGCAUGGAGCAUCAAGUUGAUGCAUCUUGAUUCGCCCAAGGAUUUUGAGUUCCACUCUCCGAACAAGGGGAUCACCAUUGGAGGGGAGCUUGGUUCAGUGGGUUGGGUCGACCUCAGGCGGGGCAUUCUCAUCUGUGACCUUCUCCUCGUUGACAGCAACCAAAGUCUUCGCUACAUCCCACUACCUUCGCCACUGUCGCCCGAUCCACUCAGGGCUUAUCCGUUGUAUGUUCGGACCAUCGUUGUUCUCCAAGGUUACAUCAAGUAUUUUGAGAUGCACAAUAACGUCAGACCGGGCUCAGACACCGGAAGCUUCCCGAUAUCUGAAGGUUGGAUUGCUGCAACAAAAAAGAUAAAACUUUCAAGCAUUGGUUCUACUUCUGGUACCAGCAACUGUGAGGAGGACUGGAUGUUAGUAGUAAUCUUGACAUGCAUAAACUGUUAG